UACGAAGGGGGCUAGCGUUGCUCGGAAUCACUGGGCGUAAAGGGUGCGUAGGCGGGUCUUUAAGUCAGGGGUGAAAUCCUGGAGCUCAACUCCAGAACUGCCUUUGAUACUGAAGAUCUUGAGUUCGGGAGAGGUGAGUGGAACUGCGAGUGUAGAGGUGAAAUUCGUAGAUAUUCGCAAGAACACCAGUGGCGAAGGCGGCCCACUGGCCCGAUACUGACGCUGAGGUGCGAAAGCGUGGGGAGCAAACAGG
Molecule: ribosomal RNA, 253 nt
Filed under: uncultured bacterium
Lineage: Bacteria
Description: partial 16S ribosomal RNA
Rfam family: Bacterial small subunit ribosomal RNA
Source: RNAcentral